Molecule: long non-coding RNA, 182 nt
Organism: Amblyraja radiata (thorny skate)
Lineage: Eukaryota; Metazoa; Chordata; Chondrichthyes; Rajiformes; Rajidae
Exons: 3
Source: RefSeq, a predicted model, not a curated record
ACAUGUUCAGAGAGAUUCUGAAAGCCUGAGAAUGGUGCCCAUAUGGUGGUUGGGCUUGUGCCUUGCUGGGCUUUUCCUCCCUCAGACUUAUGGAGUUCCGGCAGAUUCUGAAACUGCCCUGGCAGAUAUAGUUGUACAGAAAUCCAUUGGGCUAGUGCAAAGAGACUUCCUCUAUGGUGACA